Long non-coding RNA from Urocitellus parryii (Arctic ground squirrel), 396 nucleotides. RefSeq lists it as uncharacterized. NCBI's taxonomy places the organism in Eukaryota, Metazoa, Chordata, Mammalia, Rodentia, Sciuridae. The record is from RefSeq and is a predicted model, not a curated record.
ACACCAGACCCACGUCAGGAGAGGACCUUGCAGGCCACUGUCCUCCCGUUGUCAGGCCAAGCUCCCAGGGGAAGUCCAGGCCUCCAAAGGCUCAUGGGAACCCCCGGUGCAGGGUCAAGCUCUCUGGUCGACCCAGGCCUGGCUGGCUCGGCCACCCCUGCUGCCAGGCCCAGCAGUGGAAGGCUGAUGGGGUGCUCCCUGACUGAAGCGGAUCCCACCACCUAGCAGAUGGGGAAAGAGAGGCUCAGAGUCGGGGCAACUUGCCUGAAUCACAGAGGGGACAGUAGUCAAGAUUCGAAUCCUGCUGGAGGAAGCUGGGGCUCAGAGAGCGAGUGAAGAGUGGAAGGCAGAGCCCCCACAACCUCCUGCCCGCUGCCCUGAGCCUGUCUGGGCCCC